GGAUGAACGCUGGCGGCGUGCCUAAUACAUGCAAGUCGAGCGAACAGAUGAGGAGCUUGCUCCUCUGACGUUAGCGGCGGACGGGUGAGUAACACGUGGAUAACCUACCUAUAAGACUGGGAUAACUUCGGGAAACCGGAGCUAAUACCGGAUAAUAUAUUGAACCGCAUGGUUCAAUAGUGAAAGACGGUUUUGCUGUCACUUAUAGAUGGAUCCGCGCCGCAUUAGCUAGUUGGUAAGGUAACGGCUUACCAAGGCAACGAUGCGUAGCCGACCUGAGAGGGUGAUCGGCCACACUGGAACGGAGACACGGUCCAGACUCCUACGGGAGGCAGCAGUAGGGAAUCUUCCGCAAUGGGCGAAAGCCUGACGGAGCAACGCCGCGUGAGUGAUGAAGGUCUUCGGAUCGUAAAACUCUGUUAUUAGGGAAGAACAAAUGUGUAAGUAACUAUGCACGUCUUGACGGUACCUAAUCAGAAAGCCACGGCUAACUACGUG
Molecule: ribosomal RNA, 498 nt
Filed under: uncultured bacterium
Lineage: Bacteria
Description: partial 16S ribosomal RNA
Rfam family: Bacterial small subunit ribosomal RNA
Source: RNAcentral